Molecule: non-coding RNA, 135 nt
Organism: Triticum aestivum (bread wheat)
Lineage: Eukaryota; Viridiplantae; Streptophyta; Magnoliopsida; Poales; Poaceae
Source: Rfam
CUCAUACUCCAUCUGUCCGAAAAUACUUGUCAUCAAAACGAAUAAAAGAGAAUGUAUCUAGAUGUAUUUUAGUUUUAGAUAUAUAUUUUUUUGUCUAUUUUGAUGAUAAAUAUUUUCGGACGAAGGGAGUACUAG